RNAcentral lists this ribosomal RNA (444 nucleotides) under uncultured bacterium. RNAcentral's name for it is "SSU rRNA". It matches the Rfam family "Bacterial small subunit ribosomal RNA", at positions 26 to 518 of the family's 1533-position model. The record is from RNAcentral.
AGAACGAACGCUGGCGGCAGGCUUAACACAUGCAAGUCGAGCGCCUCGCAAGAGGAGCGGCAGACGGGUGAGUAACGCGUGGGAACAUACCCUUCGGUUCGGAAUAAUUCAGGGAAACUUGGACUAAUACCGGAUACGGACGAGAGUCGAAAGAUUUAUCGCCGAAGGAUUGGCCCGCGUUCGAUUAGCUAGUUGGUGUGGUAACGGCGCACCAAGGCGACGAUCGAUAGCUGGUCUGAGAGGAUGAUCAGCCACACGGGGACUGAGAGACGGCCCCGACUCCUACGGGAGGCAGCAGCAAGGAAUUUUCCGCAAUGGGGGCAACCCUGACGGAGCAACGCCGCGUGACGGAUGACGCCUCUUGGGUGUAACGUCUUUUGCCGAGGGAGAGAAUGGACGGUACUCGGCGAAGUAGGACCGGCUAACGUACGUGCCAGCAGCCGC